This 275-nucleotide unclassified non-coding RNA is filed under the name uncultured fungus. RNAcentral describes it as "partial contains small subunit ribosomal RNA, internal transcribed spacer 1, and 5.8S ribosomal RNA". The stretch from base 1 to 73 matches the Rfam family "Eukaryotic small subunit ribosomal RNA", at positions 1759 to 1831 of the family's 1831-position model. The record is from RNAcentral. Lineage: Eukaryota; Fungi.
UCAAACUUGGUCAUUUAGAGGAAGUAAAAGUCGUAACAAGGUCUCCGUUGGUGAACCAGCGGAGGGAUCAUUACAGAGUGUAACAGCUCCCUAAACCCAUUGUGAAUCUACCUGUUCAGUUGCUUCGGCGGGCGGCCCCAGGGGGGGCCAUGGCCUAGCAGGCGCCUGCCGGAGGUAUCAAAAACUCUUGCCGUGUAGUGGUCUCUGAGCAAAACAAAUGAGUCAAAACUUUCAACAACGGAUCUCUUGGCUUAGGCAUCGAUGAAGAACGCAGC